Molecule: ribosomal RNA, 324 nt
Filed under: uncultured bacterium
Lineage: Bacteria
Description: bacterial SSU rRNA
Rfam family: Bacterial small subunit ribosomal RNA
Source: RNAcentral
CAUGGCUCAGGAUGAACGCUGACAGAAUGCUUAACACAUGCAAGUCAUUGGCGAAGCUGCGCUUGCGCAGUCUAGCCAAGGCGGACGGGUGAGUAACGCGUAAGGAACUUGCCCUGCAGACAGGGAUAACAGACGGAAACGACUGAUAACACCUGGUAUUGUCAGGCUGGCGCAUGCCGGCCUGAUGAAAGGAGACGCUGCAGGAGAGCCUUGCGUCCUAUUAGCUAGUUGGUGGGGUAACGGCCCACCAAGGCGAUGAUAGGUAGCCGGCCUGAGAGGGUGAACGGCCACAAGGGGACUGAGAUACGGCCCUUACUCCUACGG